RNAcentral lists this unclassified non-coding RNA (443 nucleotides) under soil metagenome. RNAcentral's name for it is "partial contains 5.8S ribosomal RNA, internal transcribed spacer 2, and large subunit ribosomal RNA". The stretch from base 1 to 120 matches the Rfam family "5.8S ribosomal RNA", at positions 35 to 154 of the family's 154-position model. The record is from RNAcentral.
GAUGAAGAACGUAGCGAAAUGCGAUACGUAGUGUGAAUUGCAGAAUUCCGUGAACCAUCGAAUCUUUGAACGCAUAUUGCGCCCAAGACCUCGGUCUAGGGCAUGUCUGCCUCAGCGUCGGUUUACCCCCCUCGCUCCCCCCUCUUGGAUAACUCCAAGACAGUCGGGCUGGCUGUCAAUGCCAGCCUUGGGAGCGGAACUGGCUCUCCCACCGCGCUUGCGCUGUGGGUUGGCUGAAAAGCAGAGGCUAGAGCAGAGACCCGUCAAGGGCUCAACUGGAUAGGUAGAUGCCAGCCUCACCGCUGCCCUACACGAAGUUGAUGCCUGUGGACUCUCGCUGGCGGCCCACUUUCGGUGCCUUGUGCGCUGAAAACCAACCAACCAUUCGACCUGAGCUCAGGCAAGAACACCCGCUGAACUUAAGCAUAUCAAUAAGCGGAGGA